This 2036-nucleotide long non-coding RNA is filed under the name Triticum aestivum (bread wheat). RNAcentral's name for it is "long non-coding RNA (TAES_LNC009888)". The stretch from base 1568 to 1649 matches the Rfam family "MIR1120/MIR1122 microRNA precursor family". The record is from RNAcentral. Lineage: Eukaryota; Viridiplantae; Streptophyta; Magnoliopsida; Poales; Poaceae.
AUGCACGAGAGGAAGAAAUCAUAUAUUGAAAAAACUAUGGGAUUACAAUUGUUAAUAUUACAGGAGGAAUAACUUCCAAAUGUGAAAGCAUCCACCAACAUCCCUACAACUUCACUAAAACUUAACCAAGGAACAUCAUCCAACAGGAAUAGCAUCCCUACAAAUUAACUAAAACUGAAAACAGCCAUCAUAACAAAAACUAAAAACAGCCAUCAUCGUGAACCAGAACAUCAUCAUCAUUGUAGUAUACCUGCCAGGCACCCAUAUAAGCGUCCAUAUAUCUUUUAAAUCUACAAUGAAAAUAACAAAAUGAUCUGUUAAUACACAAUAUGUUGACAUGAUGUAAAUAGUGACGGGUUGUCCAACAAAUAAGAAAUAUUACUUCUUACAAACGGUCAUUACUUCCGAAACAUUGGUUGUCCGGCUAGAUGACGACUAUUACAAAGAAAAGUUGUAACCUGAAAGUAUUCCCUUACAACUCAAUAUACUACUUCAGGUCACAAAAGAAACAUAAACAGACUCGAAGAAAAAUAAACAGUUGUGAUUGUGGCCUAAAAGCAAGCCACUAAUAACAUAGUACUUACUUAGUUGACGGGUUAAAAGCACAAUAGACACUGCUCAUAUGGAACAGUGCAAUCGAAUUAAUGAGAAAUUCAGCAAUUUAUGAACUGUAACAGCAAGAGUUCAUGUGGAUAAUUCAGCAAUUUAUGAAUCAAAGUGGUGAGAGAUCAGCGGCGAGUUCAGCAAUGUACGAAUCAAACAGGCAAGAGCAUCUAAGGAGAACAUUACUUGCAUUUCCAUCUUCACAAAUAGUUAAGAUAUGGAGAUUGUGGACAGUUACCAGAACCAUGACUACGAACACUGUCGUAUCUUGGACAAAUCUACUCGCAGCUCCAGUCGUCUAUGAUGUUCGCCUCAAUCUCGAUAGUGCCUGAACGGAUGAGUGCGACACCUCACAUUAAAUUACACACAACAAUAGGUACACCAUUGGCGAGAUAGGAGUACAUAAAUAGUUGAAUAAGAGCAGAAAAGGAGGCUGAAAAAUGGUUAGAGCUAAUGUAAGAAAAAAAGGAAUAAAUAAAUAAUCACCACAACGGAAAUAGUCUUAGUUGAAGGUAAAACACAGUGACGUACUGUGAAUGUAGAGAAUGGCACAUUGAAAACCACCGAAUGGCAUUGAGUAUUUCUUCCUUUGGAAACCUGCGCACAAACAAACAAUGAGCCUCUACUUAACGGAUGAUAAACAUGAUUAUUAACAGUGAGCCGCUGCCUGUGUAUAUGUGUGUGUGCUUGCUGCAAGCUUUAGUAUCUCAAUGUUUGCACAUGAACAUGUGUAAAGCUUAGGUGUAGGUUGCAUCUAAGUGGGGUAUUGGGAUUCAGUUUCAGCGGUAGUAGAUAAGUACCUUUUUUUAGAUUAGUAGAUAAGUACUCGCACCGUAAACAAAUAUAAGAGCGUUUAGAUCACUGCUACUCCCUCUGUAAAGAAAUAUAAGAGCGUUUAGAUCACUAGUAGAUUAGUAGAUAAGUAUUCGCACCGUGAAGAAAUAUAAGAGCGUUUAGAUCACUACUACUCCCUCCGUAAAGAAAUAUAAGAGCGUUUAGAUCACUAGUGAUCUAAACGCUCUUAUAUUUGUUUACGGAGGGAGUACUUGGUAUAGAUGAAUCCUCUGCAAUGACUUGACCCGAGUGUAUAUAUAAUAACUACAUGCUAUGAGGGGACAAUCACAUAACCAAACGACAAAGAAAAAUGUGUACUAAAUCUCAAAAAAGAAGAUGUUUACUAUCUUAUGGUGAAUAGUAAGAGCAUACAACAAUCAGUAUAUUAACCGACGUGGAGAUAAGUAUUUAGCAGUGUUCUGAAUCAUAUCAACAACAUCAAAGCAACAUCAUAGAAGAAACCAUGCACAUUAUUAAUUCACCUUCCCACUAAAACAAAGGUGUACGUGCUUCCCCCAACAGGUCCACAUCCUCUAGUAUUUGAGCAGGACGUGAAAGCCACCAUUAGCAAGCUACUACCUCCACGUAAAUAACCUGAC